GCAGAUGUAGCUCAAGCAGAGCGCGUGCCGAUUUAGGGAGCACGGGGUGUUGGUUAGAUUCCAGCCGUCUGCACCA
Molecule: transfer RNA, 76 nt
Filed under: Siphoviridae sp. ct6h44
Lineage: Duplodnaviria; Heunggongvirae; Uroviricota; Caudoviricetes
Also listed under: 1 other name
Description: tRNA-OTHER
Rfam family: tRNA
About the family: Transfer RNA (tRNA) molecules are approximately 80 nucleotides in length.
Source: RNAcentral